Long non-coding RNA from Megalopta genalis, 652 nucleotides. RefSeq lists it as uncharacterized. NCBI's taxonomy places the organism in Eukaryota, Metazoa, Arthropoda, Insecta, Hymenoptera, Halictidae. The record is from RefSeq and is a predicted model, not a curated record.
CUAUAGUGGCGCGUCGUGCCUAAAAGGUUAAGACCUGGGCGAGAGCGUUGGGGACGAAACACCACAGGACAUCCGCCUACCACCCACAGGCUAACGAAGCUAUCGAGCAGUUACAUCGGCAACUGAAGGCGGCGAUCAUGUACCACUAGAAGGACAGCUGAUCCGAAACUCUCCCGGCAGUCCUGCUCGUCAAUAUUAUUUCUUUCAACAAUUGCAAGAGGCGAAGACAUUGAACGCGCAUGAUGACUUCUGCCGAGCGAGCCGGGGACCGAUUACUAAGGUGUCGCUUUCUAGUAGUCUAUUUUUACCAAAGACGACUGAAGGCAAUCGGGAAGUUGUUGAAAUUUUAUACGUAUUUAAAGGAAAAUGAUAAAAAUCUUUUAAAAUUCAAUCUAUCGGGCGAUGAUGAGAAUGAAGAUACGAAUAAAAUACAUACACCUAAUACUGAUCUAGAAGUACAAUAAUAAAAAAUAAAAAUAAAAUAAAAUAAUUAAAAGUUAUUAACUUUCAUAUAAUUAAACAACCUCCUGUGUUACACAGGCAUCUUUAUUUAAUAAUACCGGCCCUUUUCAGGGCCUCAAAUUUAUUCUAGCUCUAUUUACUCCAGACGUGAUAACGCCAAUGCAAUAAUAAAAUACCAUUUUCUAUUUUA